Molecule: ribosomal RNA, 253 nt
Filed under: uncultured bacterium
Lineage: Bacteria
Description: partial 16S ribosomal RNA
Rfam family: Bacterial small subunit ribosomal RNA
Source: RNAcentral
GACAGAGGGUGCAAACGUUGUUCGGAAUUACUGGGCGUAAAGCGUGUGUAGGCGGCUACAUAAGUCGGAUGUGAAAGCCCCGGGCUCAACCCGGGAAGUGCACUCGAUACUGCGUAGCUUGAGUCUCGGAGAGGUUGGUGGAAUUCUCGGUGUAGAGGUGAAAUUCGUAGAUAUCGAGAGGAACACCGGUGGCGAAGGCGGCCAACUGGACGAAGACUGACGCUGAGAUACGAAAGCGUGGGGAGCAAACAGG